This 482-nucleotide ribosomal RNA is filed under the name uncultured bacterium. RNAcentral's name for it is "partial 16S ribosomal RNA". It matches the Rfam family "Bacterial small subunit ribosomal RNA", at positions 30 to 507 of the family's 1533-position model. The record is from RNAcentral.
AUUGAACGCUGGCGGCAUGCUUUACACAUGCAAGUCGAACGGUAACAGGCCGCCAGGUGCUGACGAGUGGCGAACGGGUGAGUAAUGCAUCGGAACGUGCCCAGUCGUGGGGGAUAACUACUCGAAAGAGUAGCUAAUACCGCCUACGAUCUAUGGUUGAGAGCGGGGGACCGUACGGCCUCGCGCGAUUGGAGCGGCCGAUGUCAGAUUAGGUAGUUGGUGGGGUAAAGGCUCACCAAGCCAACGAUCUGUAGCUGGUCUGAGAGGACGACCAGCCACACUGGGACUGAGACACGGCCCAGACUCCUACGGGAGGCAGCAGUGGGGAAUUUUGGACAAUGGGCGCAAGCCUGAUCCAGCAAUGCCGCGUGCAGGAAGAAGGCCUUCGGGUUGUAAACUGCUUUUGUACGGAACGAAACGGCUCUGGUUAAUACCCGGGGCUAAUGACGGUACCGUAAGAAUAAGCACCGGCUAACUACGUG